GGGCCACUAACUCAACGGUAGAGUAAUCGGCUUUUAACCGAAAAGUUCCGGGUUCGAAUCCCGGGUGACCCA
Molecule: transfer RNA, 72 nt
Filed under: Cyanophora paradoxa
Lineage: Eukaryota; Glaucocystophyceae; Cyanophorales; Cyanophoraceae
Description: tRNA-Lys
Rfam family: tRNA
About the family: Transfer RNA (tRNA) molecules are approximately 80 nucleotides in length. Their secondary structure includes four short double-helical elements and three loops (D, anti-codon, and T loops).
Source: RNAcentral